Molecule: ribosomal RNA, 407 nt
Filed under: uncultured bacterium
Lineage: Bacteria
Description: partial 16S ribosomal RNA
Rfam family: Bacterial small subunit ribosomal RNA
Source: RNAcentral
AUUGAACGCUGGCGGCAGGCCUAACACAUGCAAGUCGAGCGGAGCGGCGGACGGGCGAGUAAUGCCUAGGAAUCUGCCUGGUCGCGGGGGAUAACGUCCGGAAAGGGGCGCUAAUACCGCAUACUAUCAGAUUAGCCUAGGUCGGUUUGGCUAGUUGGUGGGGUAAAGGCCUACCAAGGCGACGAUCCGUAACUGGUCUGAGAGGAUGUUCAGUCACACUGGAACGGAGACACGGUCCAGACUCCUACGGGAGGCAGCAGUGGGGAAUAGUGGACAAUGGUCGAAAUCCUGAUCCAGCCAUGCCGCGUGUGUGAAGAAGGUCUUCGGAUUGUAAAGCACUUUAAGUUGGGAGGCGUUACCAACAGAAUAAGCACCGGCUAACUUCGUGCCAGCAGCCGCGGUAAUUC